GAUGAACGCUGGCGGCGUGCCUAAUACAUGCAAGUCGAGCGAACGGACGAGAAGCUUGCUUCUCUGAUGUUAGCGGCGGACGGGUGAGUAACACGUGGAUAACCUACCUAUAAGACUGGGAUAACUUCGGGAAACCGGAGCUAAUACCGGAUAAUAUUUUGAACCGCAUGGUUCAAAAGUGAAAGACGGUCUUGCUGUCACUUAUAGAUGGAUCCGCGCUGCAUUAGCUAGUUGGUAAGGUAACGGCUUACCAAGGCAACGAUGCAUAGCCGACCUGAGAGGGUGAUCGGCCACACUGGAACUGAGACACGGUCCAGACUCCUACGGGAGGCAGCAGUAGGGAAUCUUCCGCAAUGGGCGAAAGCCUGACGGAGCAACGCCGCGUGAGUGAUGAAGGUCUUCGGAUCGUAAAACUCUGUUAUUAGGGAAGAACAUAUGUGUAAGUAACUGUGCACAUCUUGACGGUACCUAAUCAGAAAGCCACGGCUAACUACGUGCCAGCAGCCGCGGUAGUACGUAAGUGGCAAGCGUUAUCCGGAAUUAUUGGGCGUAAAGCGCGCGUAGGCGGUUUUUUAAGUCUGAUGUGAAAGCCCACGGCUCAACCGUGGAGGGUCAUUGGAAACUGGAAAACUUGAGUGCAGAAGAGGAAAGUGGAAUUCCAUGUGCAGCGGUGAAAUGCGCAGAGAUAUGGAGGAACACCAGUGGCGAAGGCGACUUUCUGGUCUGUAACUGACGCUGAUGUGCGAAAGCGUGGGGAUCAAACAGGAUUAGAUACCCUGGUAGUCCACGCCGUAAACGAUGAGUGCUAAGUGUUAGGGGGUUUCCGCCCCUUAGUGCUGCAGCUAACGCAUUAAGCACUCCGCCUGGGGAGUACGACCGCAAGGUUGAAACUCAAAGGAAUUGACGGGGACCCGCACAAGCGGUGGAGCAUGUGGUUUAAUUCGAAGCAACGCGAAGAACCUUACCAAAUCUUGACAUCCUUUGACAACUCUAGAGAUAGAGCCUUCCCCUUCGGGGGACAAAGUGACAGGUGGUGCAUGGUUGUCGUCAGCUCGUGUCGUGAGAUGUUGGGUUAAGUCCCGCAACGAGCGCAACCCUUAAGCUUAGUUGCCAUCAUUAAGUUGGGCACUCUAAGUUGACUGCCGGUGACAAACCGGAGGAAGGUGGGGAUGACGUCAAAUCAUCAUGCCCCUUAUGAUUUGGGCUACACACGUGCUACAAUGGACAAUACAAAGGGCAGCGAAACCGCGAGGUCAAGCAAAUCCCAUAAAGUUGUUCUCAGUUCGGAUUGUAGUCUGCAACUCGACUACAUGAAGCUGGAAUCGCUAGUAAUCGUAGAUCAGCAUGCUACGGUGAAUACGUUCCCGGGUCU
This 1372-nucleotide ribosomal RNA is filed under the name uncultured bacterium. RNAcentral describes it as "bacterial SSU rRNA". It matches the Rfam family "Bacterial small subunit ribosomal RNA", at positions 28 to 1381 of the family's 1533-position model. The record is from RNAcentral.